GUUGGUCAAAUGGAAUGAGGCAUACAGUCCUUAUGAUAACCAUUGGUCAGAGCAAGAGGGGGAAGGAAACGGAAGAGAUAAAAAAUGUGGGGAGAAAGUGAAACAGGAGAGGUAAGGAAUCCGUAGUUGCAAAUGUGACGUUGUCAGACCUGAAUGUACCAGCAAAAUGGAUAAAGGAAAAGAAAGAAGCUACCCUAAAAGAUGGAAACCGCUGUAAAGGACAAGGAAAUGAUAAUCCACUUGACUCAAAAGUUAACUCGACCAAUGGGCAUUAAAUACAGACGUAAAUAUGUAAUAGCAGGAUCCGAGAGAGAGAGGAGGAAAUGAAAUUUUUGGGAAGAGACAAACGCACAGGGGAAAAUGACUGAACACAUGAAAUUAUGGAACAAGUAACAUCAUAAAAUGAAGAAAAAAGCAUGUUUAAAAAAACCCAGUUGUCGAUAUUACUGAAUACAAAAAGAAAACUUA
Zootermopsis nevadensis is the source of this 468-nucleotide non-coding RNA. NCBI's taxonomy places the organism in Eukaryota, Metazoa, Arthropoda, Insecta, Blattodea, Termopsidae. The record is from RefSeq and is a predicted model, not a curated record.